UUACAAGAACACAGGUCCGUGCGAAGCCGUAAGGCGAUGUAUACGGACUGACGCCUGCCCGGUGCUGGAACGUUAAGGGGACCGGUUAGCUCCAUUUCGGUGGGGCGAAGCUGAGAACUUAAGCGCCAGUAAACGGCGGUGGUAACUAUAACCAUCCUAAGGUAGCGAAAUUCCUUGUCGGGUAAGUUCCGACCUGCACGAAUGGCGUAACGACUUCUCGACUGUCUCAACCAUAGGCCCGGUGAAAUUGCACUACGAGUAAUGAUGCUCGUUUCGCGCAGCAGGACGGAAAGACCCCGGGACCUUUACUACAGUUUGAUAUUGGUGUUCGGUUCGGCUUGAGUAGGAUAGCUGGGAGACUGUGAAGCGCUAACGCCAGUU
RNAcentral lists this non-coding RNA (381 nucleotides) under Streptomyces afghaniensis 772. RNAcentral's name for it is "Bacterial large subunit ribosomal RNA". It matches the Rfam family "Bacterial large subunit ribosomal RNA", at positions 1805 to 2176 of the family's 2925-position model. The record is from Rfam by way of RNAcentral. Lineage: Bacteria; Bacillati; Actinomycetota; Actinomycetes; Kitasatosporales; Streptomycetaceae.